GGGAAUAUUGCACAAUGGGGGAAACCCUGAUGCAGCGACGCCGCGUGAGUGAAGAAGCGUUUCGGCGCGUAAAGCUCUGUCAGCGGGGAAGAAACACGGUUCGCGAGAGCCGCGGACGGUACCCGACCAAGAAGCCCCGGCUAACUACGUGCCAGCAGCCGCGGUAAUACGUAGGGGGCAAGCGUUAUCCGGAUUUACUGGGUGUAAAGGGAGCGUAGACGGUGAUGUAAGUCUGGAGUGAAAGGCGGGGGCCCAACCCCCGGACUGCUCUGGAAACUAUGUGACUGGAGUGCAGGAGAGGUGAGCGGAAUUCCUAGUGUAGCGGUGAAAUGCGUAGAUAUUAGGAGGAACACCAGUGGCGAAGGCGGCUCACUGGACUGUAACUGACGUUGAGGCUCGAAAGCGUGGGGAGCAAACAA
Molecule: ribosomal RNA, 419 nt
Filed under: uncultured bacterium
Lineage: Bacteria
Description: bacterial SSU rRNA
Rfam family: Bacterial small subunit ribosomal RNA
Source: RNAcentral